Molecule: small nucleolar RNA, 108 nt
Organism: Nerophis lumbriciformis (worm pipefish)
Lineage: Eukaryota; Metazoa; Chordata; Actinopteri; Syngnathiformes; Syngnathidae
Product: small nucleolar RNA SNORD46
Source: RefSeq, a predicted model, not a curated record
AGCGUGAGUGAUGAAAAUUGGACCUUAGGUUGGUCUUUUUUGCACCGUUUUGGCGCAAAGCUAAGGACCUACCAAUGCUAGGCCUUGUCAUAGUUACACUGACACGCA